CGCGCGGCGGCCAGCACCGGCGGCGACUCCACCACCAGCACCAGCACCAGCACCAGGCGGGCGAACCAACCCAGCCCAUGGCGCCCCCGACCCGCGCGUCCGCGAAGCAGCCGAAGCCGGGGAGGGCCCUGGGGCGGAGGGGCAUGUCGCGCGCGGAGGCGGCGGCGGCGGCGGACGCGGCGGCGAGGCGCUCGGCGGCGGCGCGGGAGUGGCGCGUGUGGGGCGAGUGGGCGAUGGGCGCGGCCAAGGUGGUGGCGCACUACGGCUUCAUCCCGCUCGUCAUCGCCGUCGGCGUCAUCAAGUCCGACCCCAAGCCCUCCCUGUUCCAGCUCCUCGCCCCGUUCUGAUCGAUCCCCGCCACCGUCCGCGUGAUCGCGCUUCGCUAGGGUUCGUUCGAGAGAUGAAACAGUCAGCUGUGUCCGUGGUAGUUAGUUGUCUUCAUCAGAGAACUUGCUAGAAUUAUCUGUGCUGCACCUGCUAUUCUGCUCUGGAUCAAAUUGAACCUGAAUCGCUGUUACGUAGUACUAGUAUAAAUUAUAAAAUUUCGGUGAUGUGAUUGUUGAUCUCCGUGUGGAUUCUGGGUUGUGAUGUGGGGGUGUGGAUCUUGGUGGCUGCAUUGCUUGUGAAAAAGGCG
RNAcentral lists this ribosomal RNA (634 nucleotides) under Triticum aestivum (bread wheat). RNAcentral describes it as "partial small subunit ribosomal RNA". Lineage: Eukaryota; Viridiplantae; Streptophyta; Magnoliopsida; Poales; Poaceae. The record is from RNAcentral.